This 472-nucleotide ribosomal RNA is filed under the name Escherichia coli. RNAcentral's name for it is "bacterial SSU rRNA". It matches the Rfam family "Bacterial small subunit ribosomal RNA", at positions 1 to 469 of the family's 1533-position model. Lineage: Bacteria; Pseudomonadati; Pseudomonadota; Gammaproteobacteria; Enterobacterales; Enterobacteriaceae. The record is from RNAcentral.
AAAUUGAAGAGUUUGAUCAUGGCUCAGAUUGAACGCUGGCGGCAGGCCUAACACAUGCAAGUCGAACGGUAACAGGAAUCAGCUUGCUGAUUCGCUGACGAGUGGCGGACGGGUGAGUAAUGUCUGGGAAACUGCCUGAUGGAGGGGGAUAACUACUGGAAACGGUAGCUAAUACCGCAUAAUGUCGCAAGACCAAAGAGGGGGACCUUCGGGCCUCUUGCCAUCGGAUGUGCCCAGAUGGGAUUAGCUAGUAGGUGGGGUAACGGCUCACCUAGGCGACGAUCCCUAGCUGGUCUGAGAGGAUGACCAGCCACACUGGAACUGAGACACGGUCCAGACUCCUACGGGAGGCAGCAGUGGGGAAUAUUGCACAAUGGGCGCAAGCCUGAUGCAGCCAUGCCGCGUGUAUGAAGAAGGCCUUCGGGUUGUAAAGUACUUUCAGCGGGGAGGAAGGGAGUAAAGUUAAUACCUU